CAGUCGCCACGGUAAUACGAAGGGGGCUAGCGUUGCUCGGAAUGACUGGGCGUAAAGGGCGCGUAGGCGGCGGCCAAAGUCAGGCGUGAAAUUCCCGGGCUCAACCUGGGGGCUGCGUUUGAUACUUGGUUGCUUGAGUGGGGAAGAGGGUCGUGGAAUUCCCAGUGUAGAGGUGAAAUUCGUAGAUAUUGGGAAGAACACCGGUGGCGAAGGCGGCGACCUGGUCCUUUGCUGACGCUGAGGCGCGAAAGCGUGGGGAGCAAACAGGAUUAGAUACCCCAGUAGUCCCUGUCUCUUAUAA
Molecule: ribosomal RNA, 301 nt
Filed under: uncultured bacterium
Lineage: Bacteria
Description: partial 16S ribosomal RNA
Rfam family: Bacterial small subunit ribosomal RNA
Source: RNAcentral